This 674-nucleotide ribosomal RNA is filed under the name uncultured bacterium. RNAcentral describes it as "bacterial SSU rRNA". It matches the Rfam family "Bacterial small subunit ribosomal RNA", at positions 117 to 789 of the family's 1533-position model. The record is from RNAcentral.
GUAUCCAACCUUCCGUACACUCAGGGAUAGCCUUUCGAAAGAAAGAUUAAUACCUGAUGGUAUGAUGAGAUUGCAUGAUAGCAUCAUUAAAGAUUUAUCGGUGUACGAUGGGGAUGCGUUCCAUUAGGUAGUAGGCGGGGUAACGGCCCACCUAGCCAACGAUGGAUAGGGGUUCUGAGAGGAAGGUCCCCCACAUUGGAACUGAGACACGGUCCAAACUCCUACGGGAGGCAGCAGUGAGGAAUAUUGGUCAAUGGACGAGAGUCUGAACCAGCCAAGUAGCGUGAAGGAUGAAGGUCCUACGGAUUGUAAACUUCUAUUAUAAGGGAAUAAACCCUCCCACGUGUGGGAGCUUGUAUGUACCUUAUGAAUAAGCAUCGGCUAACUCCGUGCCAGCAGCCGCGGUAAUACGGAGGAUGCGAGCGUUAUCCGGAUUUAUUGGGUUUAAAGGGAGCGCAGACGGGUCGUUAAGUCAGCUGUGAAAGUUUGGGGCUCAACCUUAAAAUUGCAGUUGAUACUGGCGUCCUUGAGUGCGGUUGAGGUGUGCGGAAUUCGUGGUGUAGCGGUGAAAUGCUUAGAUAUCACGAAGAACUCCGAUUGCGAAGGCAGCACACUAAUCCGUAACUGACGUUCAUGCUCGAAAGUGUGGGUAUCAAACAGGAUUAGAUACCCUG